UGGGGAAUUUUCCGCAAUGGGCGAAAGCCUGACGGAGUGACGCCGCGUGUGGGACGAAGGCCUUCGGGUCGUAAACCACUGUCAGUGGGAAGGAAGGGUGUCGGCGCAAAUACGGCCGGCAUUUGACGUUCCCUGCAGAGGAAGCCCCGGCCAACCCGGGGCCAGCAGCCGCGGUAAGCAGGAGGGGGCAAGCGUUGCUCGGAAUUACUGGGCGUAAAGGGCGCGUAGGCGGGAUGGCAAGUCGGUCGUGAAAUCCUUCGGCUCAACCGAAGAACGUCGAUCGAUACUGCUGUUUUUGAGGAUUGCAGAGGAGACUGGAAUUCCCGGUGUAGCGGUGAAAUGUGUAGAGAUCGGGAGGAACACCGGUGGCGAAGGCGGGUCUCUGGGCAAUUCCUGACGCUGAGGCGCGAAAGCGGGGGGAGCAAACGGG
This 430-nucleotide ribosomal RNA is filed under the name Actinomycetes bacterium. Its description in RNAcentral is "Actinobacteria bacterium partial 16S ribosomal RNA". It matches the Rfam family "Bacterial small subunit ribosomal RNA", at positions 355 to 776 of the family's 1533-position model. Lineage: Bacteria; Bacillati; Actinomycetota; Actinomycetes. The record is from RNAcentral.